GCCUCCUUACCUCCAGUCUCCAGAGAAGUUUCUUUCUGUAGUCUCCAUGGACUUGACGCCAUCCAUGUCGAGCUUCGAUGUUCGAGUAUCGACUAUCGCAUAUCGUAACGUAUAUCGAAUCUCGAAUGUCGUCGCAUCAUUUGAAUUAUAACCGACUAACUUUGUUGAUAGUAACCUUAAAUAUAUCACCGAGUGUCAGAAGUACUUUUGAUGUUUGUAUAGGAUACUAUUAAUCAAAGUAAUGAUUAAUUUGAGAACAUAAUAAAUUUUUCAACGUUAAAAUAAGCCAUGGCGGAAUUGCAAACUGCGUUAACCGCGAUCAGAUUACUGCGAAUAAGUGUCCGGCAGCUUUUUAAUAUUGUGGGAAGCGGCCAGGGAGUCGAUGGUGGUGAAGAUAACUCGAUGACAAAUUUUCCUCGGGACCUCCAGGAAUUUCUAAGUACUAUUGCUAGCCGUGUAAGAGAUGUAGAACAGGCGGUGAACACUCUGGAACCAACUCCGGAACCGUUCGAUCUUCCAAGUAUGAUGUACCUGGGCCAGCACACGACACAGGAAGGACAAGCGUUCCACGACACAUUGGUAAACACUUAUAGAUGGAUAAAGGAUGUUCAGGAGAAAAGCGACGUCGCCCAAACACUACUUACUCAGAACUCAAUGACGCGUUCGUACCUAACUGCGGGCAGACCAGUGAAAAAAAGAUUGCGAACGGCCAGUCAUAACGUUCCUCCGGAGCAAGUCGACUCUGUCAUACUGACAAUAGACAGACUGUACGACGACAUGACGAUAACCAUUUCACGACAGCUCUCCUCCAAUGCCGUGCUCCACGUCACUCUUGGUCACAUUUUGAAAGCAGUGAUUGCAUGCAAGGGGUUGUUGAUAGAGAGCGUGGUCAUAAAAGGGUACGGAGAGUCGACGGAUUUGUGGACAGAAUCGCGACACGAGGUGUUCAAAAAACUUACAGAGAAUGCAUACGCGGCUAUGCUUCAGUAUGAUUCACCCACUUCACCUGAAUGCUCUGUUAUAUCGUUCAUGGACUGGGUCCACAGCUUCACUAACCUGUUCAGUGUACCUUGCAAACGAUGCGGAUUGUAUCUUCACAACUUCCUGCCGCCUACUUGGCGAGAUUUUGACACCUUGGAGCCUUAUCAUCAAGAGUGCAGAGCCUCGUAAUUGAAAUCCCGUAACUUAUUACGACUGGCAAUAAACUAGAAAAGUAUGUACACACAACUUGGUCUUCUCAGUUUGUAUUAACAAAAAGGCGCGACUUCUCUUCAAUCGUUCUUAUUCAAUGAAUCGCAGAAAUAAAGAAUGAUUGGAAUCAAAUUUCGACGAAUGACGACCCCCAAUUCUGAAGAGUGUUUUUCUUAACUAUGACGUAAGACGAGUUUGCAUAGUCCGUUUGGAGGGUGCUGUCAACGACGAAAAACCUCGGCGAAUAUUCGGAACAAUACGGUAUUUCGUAUAUUUGCUAAAUAUACCUGAGCUGAUCAAGAAACACCAAAGGGGCAAACCAUUUUGUGAUACUAAAAAGAGAUUUAUCUACAAACUGAUAGGGAGCUGCAAAAGUCUCCGUUAGAUUAGGUCAUUACGCACUGUAAAUAAUUGAUUCUACAAGUUUAUGUAAGUAGGUUCUUUUUUCCUUUUUCUUUAUUUAUAAUACGCUAAUUGUAUAUUAUUGUGUUUAAUUGCUACUAGCAUGAGUUUCAAUCACUGAGCUCUAUAACGACUGAAAAUGUGCGAAAGCGUUAUUUAAUUGAACAAAUUGCAAUUUAUACCUGCUUUUUUCAUCUGUGGAUGUUUAUUUCAAUCGAAAUACUGCGUCCAACGUCCCACGGACGUAAACUCCGGUUGUAAGUGAUCUACAGAUAUUUUUUCGUUUUGGUGAAACCAUCUUUUGAGUUCUGACCACUGGACCCGUAUUAUCGAUAUUAUUAUGAAUUUCCAUACUUGCUAGUUUGAUCGCAACAUCAUUUAUUAAUUUUUUCCAAUUUUCGCAACAAAACUGUACUUUUCAUGGGAUAAUUAUUCAUUUUUAUUCGGUAUAUAACAGGUGUGCAGUUGAUUUAUCUUUAUUCUAAAUCUGUAUAUCAUUCUUAAUAUCACCAUAUCGUAAUUAAUUCUAUGUAUAAUGACAAUCAUAAUCAUAAUGAGUAUCGUUAUAAUGUAAUUAUAAUUAUGGUGUAAUUGUUAUCUCCACAGAACUGUACACAUCCAUAAUUGGAACAUUGGCGCUUUAACGAGGGCGCAAGUCAUUGUUUUUUUCAUUUUUGUUUUUUAUUUGUGUGGUAAUGAACUUAUUUUACUCAUUGUUACUGUAAUCACUUGCUCGAUGGACUCUGGGUCCCAACUUUGUAAGGCUCUAUCUACUUUGCGUCAAAUGAGCUUACCGUGAUUUUAUUUAUUCAUUCAAAACAUUUUCUGCAAAUUAGCUACCCUUUUUAAAAUAAAAUAUAUGAAAUGCUGUAUUUUAUAUUCAUCGAUACAUAUAAUUCAGCGUGUCGUAAAAUACUUUUGAAAUUCGUAGAAUUGUUCUCGUUAUUAUACUCUGGCUGUACCAUAUACUAUGAACUUGGAAUCAUGGUAGAAACCGUAAAAACUAUUCGAAAAGUUUACACACUUGCCAGAUUAAUCUCGUCGGUUAUUACUACAUGUUUACUAACAAUAACGCCUGUGUACUUAACGCGCAUUUAUAGUUCUGAGUCAAAAAAAUUGCUUCUAUUUUACCAGUUAUCGUAUUGAGUUCAUAAGCUUAUAACAUUUAAAAAAUGGAUAUGCUAGCUUUACUCUGUCCGGAAUUAUAACUUCAGUCUUAACUUAAAUUAUUGUUAAUAAUAUAGUAUCGUAAAGUCUGAUAGUACCACAAUGCGAGGAAACCUACUUUAGCAUAUUCUCAGUUCAAUAGCUUUAUUGCUUUUCUCACUGAUUCUGUAUGUUUUGGACAGCUUAUAAUUAGAAGUUCUUUUUUUUUCAAUUACGUUUAUAUGGUGCGCAGCACUGAUAAUGAAAUUAUUCAAGUAGCAUUUCACGAGAUGCGAAUAAACGAUUUGAAAAAUCGUCUUUCAUUAAAUUCAUAUUUAAUUAACACGAUAAUAGAAUUCUUCCUCAUAAGUAGCACUUUGAUAACUUUUGAGAGAAAAUAACGUGUUUUUUAUAUUAUACAUCAAUUUUCAAAUCAGAGCAAUUUUUCGGUCAAAUUGUUGAAGAAAUUUAGGUCACGCGUUCCAUGAAGAAAUAAAACUAGUCUGCGAAUGUAUGCAAAUUUCUGUGAUAAAAAUGCCUAUAAAAUUUAUUACAAUGUUAUAUAUAUUUAUAAAUUGAGGUAUACUGCCUUGUCAGAUUUAUAGUGAAUGAUUAAUAUAUAUUUUUUAGCCAAGGAGUCUUUAACUUAGUGAAUGUAAAAGCCUCAAAGUGUACGAGGAAUGAUAAUGUCGAAAUAGUAGACUGUGAUAAAUGCAUUUGUAUACAUAUACAGUUGACAUUUUGUUUUUUUGUGAAGAUGAAAAUUGUUGUAUUGAUAAUAAAAGUGCAAUGUACUUAUUAUUAGUCACAAUUGUUG
Molecule: RNA transcript, 3556 nt
Organism: Neodiprion virginianus
Lineage: Eukaryota; Metazoa; Arthropoda; Insecta; Hymenoptera; Diprionidae
Gene name: mediator of RNA polymerase II transcription subunit 27-like
Exons: 6
Source: RefSeq, a predicted model, not a curated record